AUGGAUCACCAGUGAGCGGCGGACGGGUGAGUAACACGUGGGCAACCUGCCCUGGAGCGGGGGAUAACAUCUGGAAACAGGUGCUAAUACCGCAUGACUACUAAAACCACAUGGUUUUCGUAUCAAAGAUGGUUUCGGCUAUCACUUUAGGAUGGGCCCGCGGUGCAUUAGCUAGUUGGUAAGGUAACGGCUUACCAAGGCGAUGAUGCAUAGCCGAGUUGAGAGACUGAUCGGCCACAUUGGGACUGAGACACGGCCCAAACUCC
Molecule: ribosomal RNA, 266 nt
Filed under: uncultured Lactobacillus sp.
Lineage: Bacteria; Bacillati; Bacillota; Bacilli; Lactobacillales; Lactobacillaceae
Description: partial 16S ribosomal RNA
Rfam family: Bacterial small subunit ribosomal RNA
Source: RNAcentral